Molecule: ribosomal RNA, 498 nt
Filed under: uncultured bacterium
Lineage: Bacteria
Description: partial 16S ribosomal RNA
Rfam family: Bacterial small subunit ribosomal RNA
Source: RNAcentral
AUUGAACGCUGGCGGCAUGCCUUACACAUGCAAGUCGAACGGUAACAGGUCUUCGGAUGCUGACGAGUGGCGAACGGGUGAGUAAUACAUCGGAACGUGCCUAGUAGUGGGGGAUAACUACUCGAAAGAGUGGCUAAUACCGCAUGAGAUCUACGGAUGAAAGCAGGGGAUCGCAAGACCUUGUGCUACUAGAGCGGCCGAUGGCAGAUUAGGUAGUUGGUGGGAUAAAAGCUUACCAAGCCGACGAUCUGUAGCUGGUCUGAGAGGACGAUCAGCCACACUGGGACGGAGCCACGGCCCGGACUCCUACGGGAGGCAGCAGUGGGGAAAUGUGGACAAUGGGCGCAAGCCUGAUCCAGAAGUGCCGCGUGCAGGAUGAAGGCCUUCGGGUUGUAAACUGCUUUUGUACGGAACGAAAAGCCCCGGGUUAAUACCCUGGGGUCAUGACGGUACCGUAAGAAUAAGCACCGGCUAACUACGUGCCAGCCGCCGCCGUAA